This 766-nucleotide ribosomal RNA is filed under the name Staphylococcus aureus. RNAcentral's name for it is "partial 23S ribosomal RNA". It matches the Rfam family "Bacterial large subunit ribosomal RNA", at positions 12 to 775 of the family's 2925-position model. Lineage: Bacteria; Bacillati; Bacillota; Bacilli; Caryophanales; Staphylococcaceae. The record is from RNAcentral.
UAAGGGCGCACGGUGGAUGCCUUGGCACUAGAAGCCGAUGAAGGACGUUACUAACGACGAUAUGCUUUGGGGAGCUGUAAGUAAGCUUUGAUCCAGAGAUUUCCGAAUGGGGAAACCCAGCAUGAGUUAUGUCAUGUUAUCGAUAUGUGAAUACAUAGCAUAUCAGAAGGCACACCCGGAGAACUGAAACAUCUUAGUACCCGGAGGAAGAGAAAGAAAAUUCGAUUCCCUUAGUAGCGGCGAGCGAAACGGGAAGAGCCCAAACCAACAAGCUUGCUUGUUGGGGUUGUAGGACACUCUAUACGGAGUUACAAAGGACGACAUUAGACGAAUCAUCUGGAAAGAUGAAUCAAAGAAGGUAAUAAUCCUGUAGUCGAAAAUGUUGUCUCUCUUGAGUGGAUCCUGAGUACGACGGAGCACGUGAAAUUCCGUCGGAAUCUGGGAGGACCAUCUCCUAAGGCUAAAUACUCUCUAGUGACCGAUAGUGAACCAGUACCGUGAGGGAAAGGUGAAAAGCACCCCGGAAGGGGAGUGAAAUAGAACCUGAAACCGUGUGCUUACAAGUAGUCAGAGCCCGUUAAUGGGUGAUGGCGUGCCUUUUGUAGAAUGAACCGGCGAGUUACGAUUUGAUGCAAGGUUAAGCAGUAAAUGUGGAGCCGUAGCGAAAGCGAGUCUGAAUAGGGCGUUUAGUAUUUGGUCGUAGACCCGAAACCAGGUGAUCUACCCUUGGUCAGGUUGAAGUUCAGGUAACACUGAAUGGAGGACC